RNAcentral lists this long non-coding RNA (10068 nucleotides) under Solanum tuberosum (potato). RNAcentral's name for it is "long non-coding RNA (STUB_LNC008838)". The record is from RNAcentral. Lineage: Eukaryota; Viridiplantae; Streptophyta; Magnoliopsida; Solanales; Solanaceae.
UUUCCAGUCAUGAUGCUUUGGGUCAUGACAAGGUUGGUAUCAGAGUUUUAGGUUCGUUGAUCUAAUCGUACUAAGAUAGGUGUAGCGGAGUCUUACUAAAUAGUACAGAGAUGUCUAUACUGCUCUUCGAGAGGCUAUAUGUUGCUAGGAAAACUCACUUUUUAUUUACUUCAUGCUAUUACUUGAUUAUAAUUGUUAUAUGGUGAUCCAAAUUGGUAUCUGACUCAUCACUCUUUUCUCUCACAAAUGGUAAGAACACAUUCGGGUGAGGCAAAAGCCAAGGUUCUUGAGCUAGUUGCCGCUCUGUGACUCACAGUUAAGGAUGGGCGGCCAGAGGUAGGAUGAGAGUAGCAAUCCAAUCGGGACUAGAACUCUAGUUGUUUAACAGGUGAGAGACAGAAGUGAUUCCCCUGCACCUCAAGAGGCUCUAGAGAUUGUGAAAAAGAAGGUAGAUGUACUAGUUCGAGAGGUAAUUGGCAAGUAAUGGGACUAUGCCCACAGUUCCUGCAGUUCCCGCAGACUAGUUUUUGGGAGUUCAGCAUGUUGCAGCUAUGGCUCUGUGGAUGGAUCAAAUUUCUAAUUCAGGUAUGUUUCUGAGGCCUGUGACUGCACCAGUGAUGACUAAAGGAGAGCAUGAUCUAUUAUAGAGGUUCACCAAGGUGAAGCCUCCUAUUUUCUAUUAUACUGAGUCUGAGGACCCUUAUGAGUUUAUCAUUAACUAUCAUGAAAGGUUCCAUAAGAUGUGGGAAGUGGAGAGAUAUGGAGUGGAUUUUGUAAUUUUCCAGCUGAUGGGAAAUGCUAAGUUAUAGUGGCAGGUUUAUGUUGAGUGUGGACCUGUCGGUUCACUUCCUUUGAUGUAGACCUAGUUUCACUACAUCUUUCUAGAGCAGUAUGUUCCUCGUACCUUGUGAGAGAAGAGACAUGAUGAUUUCACCAGUAUAGUGUAGGGGAGUUUUUCAGUCACAGUUUAUCAUGCCCUAUUCCAUUCUUAUCCAAGCAUUCUCUGCAACUACUGCCCACCGAGGAGGAGAGGAUCAGACAGUUUAUUAAAGGUCUGAAUGUGGGACUUAAGCUUGCAAAUCUACGGGGCUUCUCCUAAUUCAAAAAUUCUCUCCCUUUGUGCAAACAUAGCAAUAUUUUCAUAUUGAAUUUGUGUUCUUUGAUUUACGCACUUAUCUCAUAAACUUAAUUUCUUAAAGAAUCCUUCUUGCAUUUUGAAUCUGUUUUACCCCGCCGUCUGAUCAACAACCAUCUCUAGUCAGUUUACUAAUUGAGACUUCCUAAGGACAUGAUUUUUAUAUAGAUGUUUGUAGAUCAUCAAAAUUAGUUUCUGCCUAAAUCAAGACCUUCCAUUUUUUUUCUUUAACGACCUUGCACCAAAAAUACAUGCUAAACAUAUAAGUUGAGCAACAAAACAAUUUUAAAAGGAACUGUUCAAGUGUAAGAAGAACAUCAAAUUUUGUUCACUAUAUUCAUAUCCAAAUCCCAACGGUUGAGUGUCGUGCAAUAAGGACUCAAUCUCCUCUGAAUGUUGAUCAGUUUGAGCCCACGAGUGCUUCAAUUUUGAUCCAGCUUCCAAUUCAUAGUAGGUCGAUCAUCCCCUUAAACAUUUAAGCACCUUUGUGCAAGCACGGCAACAUUUUUCAAUUGCCCUGCAUUUCCCUCAUCACAGACUAUAUUGUCGUCAAGAAUAUCGAACAAAUGACCCUUUUCCACUGAAGAUAUGAAAUAUUGAGCUAGACUUCUCUCUUCUUCUGGUCUUUCAAAACAUAGAGCCUUUCUACCGGUUAGGAGCUCUACAAGCACUACUCCGAAACUGUAUACAUCACUUUUUUCAGUGAGCUGACUUGUUUGCAAGUAUUCAGGAUCUAGAUAUCCUAGAGUUCCUUGAACCAAUGUAGCUAGCUCUGUUUGAUCAGCAGGAACCAACCUGGAUGCUCCAAAAUCAACACUUUGGCUGUGUAGCUUUUGUCUAGAAGAAUGUUGACUGACUUAAUAUCUCUAUGGAUAAUAGGAGGGUAAGCUGCUGAGAGCAAGUAGGAAAGUACUCCAGCAGUUUCUGCAGCAACUUUCAGACGAAUAUCCAAAGAAAGAGUUGACGCCUUUAAUUUAUCAUGCAAGUGUUCAGAAAGUGUUCCAUUGCUGAUAAAUUCAUACACCAAUAGAAAUAAUUAAUGUAAUAACUAUGAAAUUUAUAAUAUUAUCAACUUUCCUUCGUCUAAAAUACUGAAAUAUUAAGAAAUAGUAAAUAAGUAAAACAAAAGAGCAAUGUUUAUAUAGUAAUAACUAUUUUGAAGCAAAACUUCCUGACAAUCUAAAUUACAUAAGUAGCAUUGAUAAAUAAAGUCAUUCUUUUAUCUUGAGCAUAAAAAAAAAAAUCAUGACGAUUCUCUAAAUUUUGGAAAAGGAUAUUCAGAAGCAUAUAUCUACAUCACAAGAGAAAUUGUUAACAAAAACAAAUAAAUUUAGACUACAUCAUGUUAACUUCAUAUAUUGGAACAUUACAUACUAAAGUAUAUAUUAAGCAAAAAAAUAAUUAUUAUAUUAUCAAAAUUAUUUUCCUCAAGUACUUAAAGUUAUGGAAUAUACCCUCUUAUGAUAGAACGAUUUACUUUAUCAGAAGAGUGGUACCUCAUAUUUCGCUAAACUUCGAACUCACUCAACGACAAUAAAUCACACAAAAAUUUUAAAAUGCAAGAAGAAGAAGAGUAGAAGAUUAAAAACUUGUGGUUGAAAAAUGAGAGGAAGCCCUUCUAUUUAUAGUCAACAAAGGGUAGUAUAAACAAGUGUUUUUUUGUGCCUUAUCUAAAAAGUCAUGACCUUUCCGAAAAAUCACAACCCUUUCGAAAAGUCACAACUUAUUGAAAAAGUCACAACUCUUUGGAAAAGUCACAACUCAUCGAAAAAUCACAACCUGGUAGUAUGAACAAGUGUUUUUUUGUGCCUUAUUUGAAAAGGCAUGACCUUUUCGAAAAGUCACAACCCUUUCGAAAAAGUCACAACUUAUUGAAAAAGUCACAACUAAUCGAAAAAUCACAACCCCUUGAAAAAAGUCACAACUUAUCGGAAAAGUCACAACUCAUCAAAACAAAUGUUUUUUGUGCCUUAUCUCAAAAGUCAUGACCUUUCCGAGAAGUCACAACCCUUUGGAAAAGUCACAACUUAUUGAAAAAGUCACAACUAAUCGAAAAAUCACAACCCCUUGAAAAAAGUCACAACUUAUCGGAAAAGUCACAAUUCAUCGAAAAAGUCAAAAUCUAAGUUAGGGAUAUUAUAGUAAUUUAACAUUCAAGUUUAGGAGUUAAUACUUUUAAGAUAAUAUAUAAAUAUAAAUAUAUAUAUAUAUAUAUAUAUAAUAGAAUAGAAUAGAAUAUAGAUAGAUAGAUAGAUAUAGAUGAUAAGUAUUUGUUUUCUAUUCUAUCAUUCAAUUAAUAGAGAAUAUUAUUCAGAAAAUCUUAUGUCUUUCUAGCAUGGUAUCAAGAGCCAUGUUUAAUUUUCUUUCUAGUGCUCUCUGUUUUCUCUACUUAGUUACUUUCAUGCGUUCCUCUUGUCUCUUUGUUUUCUCUACACAGGUAUUUAUACUUUUUUUUUCUUUCUACUAUGUUAUAUUCUGUCUACUCGAUGAAUUCACAAUCAUCCUCGCGCAGUUUUCUCUCCACAAAGUUGGAUUGUUCUAAUUUUUCUGUAUUGAAAUCCACUUUGAAAUCUUUGUUCAAGGAAAGGGCUUUUUUGGGUGAUUAGAUGGUUCUACUCGUCUGCUAAAAGAUGCAAAGGAGUUGGAUACUUGUAAAUUGAAUAAUUUAAAGGUAAUCUCUUGGAUGUUGAAUUCGGUACAUGCUAAUAUCCAUAUGGGACUUUGACCAUUUAAUUUUGCUUCAGAGAUGUGGCUCCACCUGCGUAAUGUCUAUCAACAAAGAAAUCUCAGAUGAGAGUUUGAAGUGGAACGUAGCAUUGCCGAAUACACAUAGGGGGACAAAAAUGUUCGUUGUUUUUACAUUGGCUUGCAGUUGCUCUGGUUAGAAGAAAUUCAAUUUUUUGUGCGAAAUAUAUCUACAACAGGGCUCAAGGAGAUGCUGGCAGAACGACAAAAGACAAGGAUGGUGCAGUUCUUGAUGAAACUUCGGGCUGAAUUCUAGUCGAUUCGUGGCAGUUUGUUGAACAGAGAAGUCACACCUGCUCUUGAUGUUGUAUUGGCAACCAUCUUGCGUGAAGAGACCAGGCUUUGAACUCAGGCUGCCGUGGAAUAUAUGUCAUUACCCGUUGUUGCAUUACUUGCACAAAAAUCAAAUGUCGUUGCUUCAAUAGGAAAUACUAAGAGAAGUGUCCAAUGCUAUGAAUUCCAUGACUUUGGUCAUAUAGCAUUCAAUUGUCCUAAGAAGAAAUUUUUUUGUGCUUAUUGCAAGAUUACUGGCCAUCAUAUUUCAGACUAUCGUCAUCAUCCAAAUAGUUUGCGGCCUGCUCACCAAGCAUACCAGACGAACGUCACUAAACCAUCUGGUUCCUUCCCUGCUGGAGAUGAUCUUGAAAGGCUGAUCUGAGAUUCUAUAGCAGUUUUCCUUCCCAAAGCCAUCUCCAGUGCACUCUCGACAUCCUCAGGUAUAAGUAAUUCAGUUAAAUCAACUUGGCAUCUAGAUUCAGGUGCUUCCAAUCAUAUGAUCAGAGAUUUGUCCUAAUUUUCUACAUUGUAUGAUGAUGUUUCUAAACAUGUUAUUCAUACGACAAACAUGCAUACAUUUCCUGCUUCGACUAUUGGUUCUGUUAGAAAAUUGUCUAAUGUUCUUUAUGUACCAAAUUUAAAGGCUAAUUUGAUUUCGGUAGGUCAACUAGUUGAUCAAAAUUGUGUUGUAAAAUUCUCACUCAAUGUUUGUGUUGUUCAGAAUCUAAAAAUCGGAUGACCAUGGCCAAGGAGCAUAGAGUUGGUAGAAUGUUUCUUCUAGAGUUGGUUCAUCGUCAUUUGCAUCAUUGUUUUCUUUCAGUUUCUGGCGCAGAUGUUACUCGCUUGAAUAAGUUGCUCACUCUUUGGCAUAAUAGGAUGAGUCACCCUCAUUCCUCUAGGAUUCAUCACAUUCUCAAAUCAUGUCUUCCAAAAACAUAUGACAUUCAUUCCAGUCUCCCUUUGGCCUGCUCUAAUUGUGCCGGUUUGAAAAGUCACAAUCCUUUUUUUUCAUUCGGAUCAUCUUCUUAUGAAGAUCUGUUUGAGUUGGUGCAUAGUCAUGUUUGAGGUCCUUCUCCUAUUUUGUCAAGGAUGGGAUAUAAGUACUUUGUGUUAUUAUUGAUCAUGUAUCUAGAUACACAUGGGUGUAUUUUAUUUACAAUAAUUCUGAGGUUUCGACUAUUAUGAAUUUUAUUGAGUAUGUUUAUACACAAUUUCAUAAAACUAUAAAAAUAUUUCAUUCUGAUUCUAGAGGAGAGUACAUUAAAACUAAUCUUGUUGAGUUUUUUUAAAAAAACAAAGCAAUUCUUUCCCAAUGCACUUGUCCUCAUGUUCCGGAACAAAAUGGAGUCGUAGAAAGGAAGAAUCGAUAUGUUUUGGAAACUACAAUGACUUUAUUGGGUACAUCUAAUAUGCCUAAGAGUUUCUGGCCUGAAGUAGUACAUACUUCCGUUUGAUUAAUAGACCACUUUCCCUAGUCAUUGCCACUGAGACACCGUACUUCAAAUUAUUUCAUAAGGAGUCUAAUAUUUCUACUUGCGAGUUUUUGGUUGUGUAUGCUUUGUCCAUCUUCUAGCACAUGAAUGACAAAAGCUUUCAGCAAAUGUAGCACAAUGUAUUUAUAGGCUACAACGACACACGAAAGGGGUAUUCUUUUAUGAUGCAUCUCGUCGUCAGGUUCGUGUAUCUAGGGUCAAUUUUCUUACAAACACAAUUCUAAACAUGCUUCAGAAUCUGUUUGUUUUUUGUACAAGUUUGAUGAUGAUGUGGUAGCUACUGAUCCUCCGGAGCAGCCGAUGAACUAUGUUCACUAUGAUCUCCAGCCCUCCUUUCCUUCAGAUAUUGACUCUACAUCCUCAUCCUCAUCUUCAGAAGAGGAAUCAUCUCAUUCAGUUACUCCCCCACGCCGUUCUAGUAGGCAGAUCACCAUGCUCUUGAACGACUCGAUUACUCUCCGAGGAAAUUUGGUAAGUCUUAUGCCAUGCAUACCACACUUCAUUUUGUUGAUGUACCUACAUCUUACCCUCAGGCUUCUACAUAAACUUGUUGGAAAGAGGCAAUGUCGGCAGAGCUUCAUGUAUUGAAUGAAAAUUCUACUUGGGACCUUAUUGAUAAACCAACAUAUGGAGUUCCCAUUGGAACUAAGUGGGUGUAUUCCAUUAAACUUAAGGCAGAUGGUACAAUUGAUCGCUACGAAGCUCGAUUGGUUGCUCAAGGGUACAAACAUGAGUAUAGGGUGGAUUAUGAGGAGACUUUUGCACCAGUUGCUAAGAUGACAACCGUACAAACACUAUUGGUUGUGACUUCAAUGAGAGGCUGGACCUUAUGUUGACACCCAAUUUUGGACCUCCACAAUAAAAAUUAAUCAUCUCGAGUUUCUUCAAUUUUAAACGAUUUAAAAUAAUUAGUUUUAUAAAAUUUCAAAAAAAUAAAUGAUAAUAAUAAUAAUAAUAAUAAUAAUAAUAGUAAUAAUAAUAAUAUAGUUUGCAAGAUUUUUAAAUAGUUUGUCACUUUUCAUAAAUUUUAGAUGAUAUAUAUGUUUUACAUAAUUAUGUAUAUAAUUAGUAUAUUUUAUGAUUAUUCGAAAUAUCGUCUAAAAGAAAAAAAGAUUUUUUAUAUUUUAAAUAUUAGGGAUGGUUAUAAUUUUGAGUUAAUGAGUAUCAUGAAAUUCAAAAUACUUUCAAGUUAUUUUUAAAGUAAUUUUAUCACUUUUUAAUAAUAAGUAUGUAUAGUUUUGCAAUCACGCUAUUUUAUAAAUAUUUAAAAAUUAUCACAAAAGAUUUUACAUUUUAGUUAAAUAUUUUAUCAAUUUGCUUUAAGUUAUAGCUAUAAUUUCGAGUUAAUUAGUUUUGUAAUUGAAUUAAUNNNNNNNNNNNNNNNNNNNNNNNNNNNNNNNNNNNNNNNNNNNNNNNNNNNNNNNNNNNNNNNNNNNNNNNNNNNNNNNNNNNNNNNNNNNNNNNNNNNNNNNNNNNNNNNNNNNNNNNNNNNNNNNNNNNNNNNNNNNNNNNNNNNNNNNNNNNNNNNNNNNNNNNNNNNNNNNNNNNNNNNNNNNNNNNNNNNNNNNNNNNNNNNNNNNNNNNNNNNNNNNNNNNNNNNNNNNNNNNNNNNNNNNNNNNNNNNNNNNNNNNNNNNNNNNNNNNNNNNNNNNNNNNNNNNNNNNNNNNNNNNNNNNNNNNNNNNNNNNNNNNNNNNNNNNNNNNNNNNNNNNNNNNNNNNNNNNNNNNNNNNNNNNNNNNNNNNNNNNNNNNNGAAAAUUGGUACAAUGGAAAAUUUAUUUCUUAUCUCUUCAAGAUUUUGAUUUUUCAAAUUGGAUUCGGAUCCAUCUUUUCAACCCGAUUUCCCCUCUAAAUCGACCUCAAAUCCCCCUAUAUAUAAACCCCCACUGCCUUCAUUCUAUAAGGGGGGUUAGGAGAAAAUUUUAGAAGAGCUAUAGAGUUGGCCAGAAUUUACUCACGAAAUAUAGGUUAUAAAGGUCUGGGAAUAGUCAAUUUUACAUUUUGAAAAGUUCUUGGAAGACUCUAGUUUAAGAGUUUAGGAAAGUUUAUUAUUCGGGUUUCAUUUGGAUUCUCUUGGUGUGUUGUUCGAGCUUUGAAUCCGUGUGUUGGAAAAUUUGAAACCAAGCUCCCAUCUGUCCCGGAACGCUGCUCCGAAGAAGGUAAUUCUGCCUCUUCUUACAUUUUAUUUCGGUAUGAUGUGUUGUAUGUCCAAGCUUUUACUACAGGUCCUACUAUUAAGUGUGUUUGGUUCCUCGUCUUGUUGGUUUCUUUACUGUCGUUCUUAUGAAUUUCUCGGCACAUGACUCAAGUUUUGAUAAAGUUUCUUUGGUAGUAAGAUGCUAGUCGUUAGAUUCGCUGGUUCAAUGGGGUAUCAAAAUGAUGUACUGUUCGAUUGGUUUCGACUUUGAAUAUGCUAUAUGUAUAAGUUUGAUUGGUUAUCCUCUCUAUCGUUUUAUUCAUUAUGAUAGACUCUCAUUUUAUAUUAGCUCAAUCUCAUGCUAUAAUUAAAUAAAAAUCUCUGCUUUUACAUACUUGAGUGCUGUCCAUGUCUUGUUAUUGUUUUGUUUCUUCUGGUCUCAAGGCAUGGUGUCAUUAUAACUCGCUUGUUUCCAUGAUCCACAACCUCGAUGCUAAAACCUCUCAUCCUUUCCAUGAAAAACAUUGUUUCCUGACCAUGUGAGUGUAUUAGGCAUCUACAUUCUAUUUUAUUAUGUUAAAUGAAGUUUAUCUCCAUGAUAAGUAUCGACUAUUUGUACGAUAUGAUUAACGAGCUCAAUAGUCGAAGUGUAAGGUUGACCUCCUUGGCUUUCUCUGUUAAGUAUUUUACUUCAAGAUUGUUGAUAAUUUCAUUAUUGUGCAACGGUAGAUGAUUUCUAGCAUUUAAAGUUGUCCAGCUUCAAUUUUGUGUAGCAUUAAUCAUGUUUGAGAGUCUGAGUAAGUGCUCUAAAUUUGUUUGUUUGUUUAUUAGUAUCUAAUGUAGUCCUUAUAUUUUGCUAAAAAAGAAAUAAUAAAAAAAUCAAUAAAUAAAUAUGCUUUACUUUUCACAUGUUGCCAGUUGUUGAUGUUGAUUGUUUAUGAUAUGAAUAAUCACGGUUCCCUUUCAAUUAUCUCUUUUAAAUUAUUUACUUUCCGAAUUGAUAUCCUUCGUUUCUUGUCGGUGGGUGAUACUUGAACCUAAUGUGUAUGAGUACGGUUGCCUCACAUUACUCGAAUGAAGCUUUAAAUUUGUAUGUCUGUGAGUUCAUUAGCUACUAACGUAUAAAGAUAGAUAUCACUAGAGUUUCCCUUUUAGUGUUGGCUUAUAGCAAUAUUUGUUGUUCAAAUGCACUUGUAAACUUGUCCUUAGUUGCUAAUAAUUUGUUCGUUGAUACUAGUUUGCAUAAUGUGGUCACUGCCACAUAGAACUUAUUCACUGAUUUAGUUGUAUUCUUCCAUUUCAGCUCUCUUUUGAGUUAUUUGUAUUGUAUAAGUAGUCUUUCAUUAUCUUUAAAUAGGCCUUAUCUACAUACACAUCCUCCUUGCCUUAUGUAGUUGUGAUUAGUAAUCAAUUUGUUUAGUUCACUAUUUAUCUUGUUUCAUCUCUUUAGUAGAUAUUAUGUAUAUUUUGUUUAGUUAGGAAACUUUCUCUAAUGGCUUGUCCCAUUCUUAAUUAGUUUCCACAAUUAGCUCUCAUUUUUUAAUACAAUAUCACCAUCCUUUUGUCUAGAAAUAUAAUGUUAUUAAUUAGGUUCUCAUCUCUUAAAAAAUUUAUGUGUCUACCUUCGUCUAGAGUUAAUUACUUGAUCAUAUAUUUGAUGGAAGUUUUACCUUUUCUUUUUUUUCUAAUUCUUCUCCUCCUCUUUGUGUGCAUGUAAACCCCUUCCGAGUCCAUGGUGGACUUCUCCUCCUAGCAUUCUCGAGUUGAGCCAUAAAGGCUUAAUUAAAAAAAUUUCUCAUCAUUCGAGUCAGCUGGGCACAUAAAACAGAAGCACAGGGCUGGAAACCCAGAGACAAGCCUCCAAAAGUCCUAAGAUGGACUAUAUACAUUCAUUAUACACUGUAUACAUUCAGUAUACAUCAAUAUACAGGUCAAAAACGCAGGGAUACAGGGCUGAUGCGAAAUACAUGUGUUUGGAAGCAAGAUAUACAUGAAAAGGGCUGAUAUACAUGUCGAUAUACACUGAUAUACAUCAAGUGUAUACAAAAACGGGAUUGAGUAAAAUCCCCAGAAAUUGCAGCAAAAUUGGCCCAAAAAGGAGGCCCAAAUUCAAUUUCUAACUUAUUUAAUUGUGUGAUUAUUUAUUUAUUUCUUUUCUUUUAAAUUGCGACUUAAUUUAAUUAAAUUCCCCAAAAGAUAAACCAUGUUCUUUAUGUUAGUUUCUUUAAAAAUAAUUUGUUUUUUAUCAACUCUUAUGCUUAUUCAAAUAUUUUUAGUCAAAA